AAGGGCACCACAAGAACGCGUGGAGCAUGUGGCUUAAUUUGACUCAACGCGGGAAAUCUUACCGGGUCCGGACACACUGAGGAUUGACAGGCAAUAUUAUAAUUUUUUAAUUGAAAUAAAUUUUUAUUAAUUUAUUUUUUUUAUUUUUUAUAUGUUAAAUAUGCUAGUCCUUUCAUGAUUAUGUGAUAGGUGGUGCAUGGCCGUUCUUAGUUCGUGGAGUGAUCUGUCUGCUUAAUUGCGUUUCACUAUUGGGCUUAUAUAAUUACGUAUGUUGUUAACGCUUUGACCCCUUUCUACGGAUUGUGCGUGUCUUUGUCUCGUUUAACUCAUACAAUUAAGCCCUGAAAGCAACGAACGUGACCGCAACCUCUUGUUGCUCUCAUAUUACCUUAUACUGCAUAAUAUUUGAAUAAUUUAUUUUAUUUUUUUUUAUGUUUAAGAGAGCUUUCUAAACUAGAGGGACCGCUGUUACUUUCUUAAACCAGAGGAAGGUUGCGGCAAUAACAGGUCUGUGAUGCCCUUAGAUGUUCCGGGCUGCACACGUGCUACAAUGAUUAUUGCAGUGAGCAUCUCAUUUUUUACACAUCGCAUGCGCGAGUCCAUUUAUUCAGAUAUCUUUCAUUACUUUCGGGUAAUGUAGUGUUUGCUUUAAAUGUGUAUCUCUGCGCGCGAUAAAGCCUGCUUCGAAAGUAAGUGGGUAAUCAAUUAGAAGUAAUGAUUUCCUUUUUUUUUCUGCACACAUAUAUAUGGCACUUAUACCCGGGUAACCUUGUUGUUACUUUUGUGCGUAUACGUGAUAAUCUUUACCGAUUAUACUACCAUAUGUGCAAUUGUCAAUUCAUGGUGGGGACAGACCAUUGUUAAUUGUUGGUCUCGGUCUUAACUAGGAAUGCCUUGUACGGAUCUUUGGUUCAACAAACCAUCCGGAAUACGUCCCUGCCCUUUGUACACACCGCCCGUC
RNAcentral lists this ribosomal RNA (961 nucleotides) under Cassidulinoides sp. RNAcentral describes it as "partial small subunit ribosomal RNA". It matches the Rfam family "Eukaryotic small subunit ribosomal RNA", at positions 1160 to 1677 of the family's 1831-position model. The record is from RNAcentral. Lineage: Eukaryota; Foraminifera; Rotaliida; Cassidulinidae.